RNAcentral lists this ribosomal RNA (459 nucleotides) under uncultured bacterium. RNAcentral describes it as "partial 16S ribosomal RNA". It matches the Rfam family "Bacterial small subunit ribosomal RNA", at positions 338 to 795 of the family's 1533-position model. The record is from RNAcentral.
CCUACGGGGGGCAGCAGUGAGGAAUAUUGGUCAAUGGGCUUACGCCUGAACCAGCCAAGUAGCGUGAAGGAUGACUGCCCUAUGGGUUGUAAACUUCUUUUAUAUGGGAAUAAAAUGUUCCACGUGUGGGAUUUUGUAUGUACCAUAUGAAUAAGGAUCGGCUAACUCCGUGCCAGCAGCCGCGGUAAUACGGAGGAUCCGAGCGUUAUCCGGAUUUAUUGGGUUUAAAGGGUGCGCAGGCGGAAUGUCAAGUCAGCGGUAAAAUUUCGGGGCUCAACCCCGUCGUGCCGUUGAAACUGGCGUUCUUGAGUGAGCGAGAAGUAUGCGGAAUGCGUGGUGUAGCGGUGAAAUGCAUAGAUAUCACGAAGAACUCCGAUUGCGAAGGCAGUUCACUGGACUGCAACUGACACUGAGGCUCGAAAGUGUGGGUAUCAAACAGGAUUAGAUACCCCAGUAGUC